AACCUUUAGUUCAACCCAAUAUUAAAGGCAAUGCCUGCCCAGUGAAACUAUUCAACGGCCGCGGUACCCUAACCGUGCAAAGGUAGCGUAAUCAUUUGUCUAUUAAUUGUAGACCAGUAUGAAAGGCAACAUGAGAGCCAAACCGUCUCUUGCAACUACUCAAUUAAACUGAUCUUUUAGUCCAAAAGCUAAAAUAUACAUAUAAGACCAGAAGACCCUGUGAAGCUUAAACUAACCUGUUAAACCAAAUAACAGCCACUUUCGGUUGGGGCGACCUUGGAACAAAAAAGAACUUCCAAUAAAAUGGUAUCCUCCAUAUUAAGGCCAACAAGCCACAAUACGACCCAGUCUACUGACUAAUGAACCAAGUUACUCCAGGGAUAACAGCGCUAUCUUCUUCAAGAGCCCAUAUCAAAAAGAAGGUUUACGACCUCGAUGUUGGAUCAGGACAUCCUAGUGGUGCAGCCGCUACUUAAGGUUCGUUUGUUCAACGAUUAACAGUCCUACG
Molecule: ribosomal RNA, 508 nt
Filed under: Rhinophis oxyrhynchus
Lineage: Eukaryota; Metazoa; Chordata; Lepidosauria; Squamata; Uropeltidae
Description: partial large subunit ribosomal RNA
Rfam family: Bacterial large subunit ribosomal RNA
Source: RNAcentral